This 497-nucleotide ribosomal RNA is filed under the name uncultured bacterium. RNAcentral's name for it is "partial 16S ribosomal RNA". It matches the Rfam family "Bacterial small subunit ribosomal RNA", at positions 28 to 507 of the family's 1533-position model. The record is from RNAcentral.
GAUGAACGCUGGCGGCGUGCCUAAUACAUGCAAGUCGAGCGAACAGAUGAGGAGCUUGCUCCUCUGACGUUAGCGGCGGACGGGUGAGUAACACGUGGAUAACCUACCUAUAAGACUGGGAUAACUACGGGAAACCGGAGCUAAUACCGGAUAAUAUAUUGAACCGCAUGGUUCAAUAGUGAAAGACGGUUUUGCUGUCACUUAUAGAUGGAUCCGCGCCGCAUUAGCUAGUUGGUAAGGUAACGGCUUACCAAGGCAACGAUGCGUAGCCGACCUGAGAGGGUGGUCGGCCACCCUGGAACUGAGACACGGUCCAGACUCCUACGGGAGGCAGCAGUAGGGAAUCUUCCGCAAUGGGCGAAAGCCUGACAGAGCAACGCCGCGUGAGUGAUGAAGGUCUUCGGAUCGUAAAACUCUGUUAUUAGGGAAGAACAAAUGUGUAAGUAACUAUGCACGUCUUGACGGUACCUAAUCAGAAAGCCACGGCUAACUACGUG